Non-coding RNA from Microcebus murinus (gray mouse lemur), 1487 nucleotides. The record is from RefSeq and is a predicted model, not a curated record. NCBI's taxonomy places the organism in Eukaryota, Metazoa, Chordata, Mammalia, Primates, Cheirogaleidae.
CCCCAUUUUGCCUCCACAAACAUUACUGAUCCUCCACCUUGAGGUCUGAGAGUUUCGUUGAGUGGCUCCUCUUAGGAGUCCUAUCUCUCGUGAGCUGGGUUACCCUGGAGUAGAAGGGCCUUCCCCGUGAAGCUCCCAUCUUCCCUCCGUCACUGCCUUGCCACGCGGGGAGCCCAUCUCGUGAGAAGGGCUCAGGCCACUUUGGAGGGUGUCACACUGGGGUCAGCUUGCUGACGGGAUGGGGCGAGGUUUCAGUUUCUGCAACACUGGCCCUGCUGUGGUGUGAACUGCAUCCCUGCUCCAGGGGUGCAGCUCUCUGCAGAAGUCUCCCCCCUGCCUCUGACACUUGGAUGAUUUUGUAUUCAAAUUAGUCAGGAUUCUUUCUGUUUCCACUUCCAAAUCCCAGGUGAAGAAUUUCAUAGAACAGGCUGUCAUUCUCCACCCUCCCCCCCCAUUCCAGCUCUGCUCCUGAUGCGUGACAGAGCCUUGACAGAAGAGCCCGAGGGGCGAAACGGAAGCUCUACUGUGCGUUAGAGAUGAUGUUUAUCAUUAUUAUUAAUAGCUAGGGUUUAAUGAGAUUUUUCUAUGUUCUCAGCACUAUGCUAAAUACUUUAGCUGUAUUAUUUCACUUGAUCCUUACAAUAACUCAACAAGAAAGAGGCAGAGGAGCUUCCCACCCUAGACCAUCUGACAGAGUCAGAGCACAUCUCAUCUGGCCAAGAAGCCUGCUAGGAAGCCCGGAGUGGGGUGGUGGACACUGAGUCCCUAGGAGGUCCUUCUGGCAUCCGCAUUGGCUCAGGAAUACAAUGGAGUGGUCAGGUCACUUCUCCUAAAUGAAGGAAAGGAUUCGGAAAAUGGGACAGAGUGAGAAGGCUCAACACAAGAUAUAGCUCUUGGCCACAGACCAUCUUUGUUGUCUCUGACGUUAAAGUAGCUCCUAAAAAAGUCAUCUCACGCCCAUCACUGGAACAAGGGAAAUGAGAGAGCAUGGGCCAUCAGAGCCUGGAACCUUAGCAGAGGCCAAAGAGAGCAAAGCAGAUCUUUUAUAAAGGGUGGAAGGAGAGGGGUCAUGGGUACACUGGGGUCAUUUCCAAAAUCAAUUUAGUUGGAGCCAAAAAUCACACUGGGUUUAAUGUUGUGUUCAAGCAAAAAGUCCACUGGGGACAAGACUGGGAGAAAGCCUUGAAAAUGAAUUCUGGACAAAGUUUCACGACUUUUUAUUCCUGCCAGUAAUUAAAUAAUGGAAAAAGACAAUUGAUAUUUAGGUAGAAGACUGGCAGCAACUUUCCCAGCACUAGAGGGGGAGAAUUUGGUAUUUACUAAGCUGUGGAAAGGCUGAGGACCAGGUCUCUGCAAGAGAAGAAGGGCCCAGGACUCAGAGGCCACCCACACAUCUUAGAGCCUAAGAAAUGUUCCCACCCAACACUCCCAACACUUUUAACUCAGUGGGAGUCAAUAUCAGAAAAUCAUGUGAACAGCACUUACCG